UAGGGAAUCUUCGGCAAUGGACGAAAGCCUGACCGAGCAACGCCGCGUGAGUGAAGAAGGUUUUCGGAUCGUAAAACUCUGUUGGUAGAGAAGAACGUUGGUGAGAGUGGAAAGCUCAUCAAGUGACGGUAACUACCCAGAAAGGGACGGCUAACUACGUGCCAG
Molecule: ribosomal RNA, 165 nt
Filed under: uncultured bacterium
Lineage: Bacteria
Description: partial 16S rRNA
Rfam family: Bacterial small subunit ribosomal RNA
Source: RNAcentral